Molecule: transfer RNA, 72 nt
Filed under: Actinocorallia herbida
Lineage: Bacteria; Bacillati; Actinomycetota; Actinomycetes; Streptosporangiales; Thermomonosporaceae
Also listed under: 2 other names
Rfam family: tRNA
About the family: Transfer RNA (tRNA) molecules are approximately 80 nucleotides in length. Their secondary structure includes four short double-helical elements and three loops (D, anti-codon, and T loops). Further hydrogen bonds mediate the characteristic L-shaped molecular structure. tRNAs have two regions of fundamental functional importance: the anti-codon, which is responsible for specific mRNA codon recognition, and the 3' end, to which the tRNAs corresponding amino acid is attached (by aminoacyl-tRNA synthetases). tRNAs cope with the degeneracy of the genetic code in two manners: having more than one tRNA (with a specific anti-codon) for a particular amino acid; and 'wobble' base-pairing, i.e. permitting non-standard base-pairing at the 3rd anti-codon position.
Source: Rfam by way of RNAcentral
GCUCCCGUAGCUCAGGGGAUAGAGCGUUGCCCUCCGGAGGCAAAAGCGCAGGUUCGAAUCCUGCCGGGAGCG